This 502-nucleotide ribosomal RNA is filed under the name uncultured bacterium. RNAcentral's name for it is "partial 16S ribosomal RNA". It matches the Rfam family "Bacterial small subunit ribosomal RNA", at positions 30 to 523 of the family's 1533-position model. The record is from RNAcentral.
AUUGAACGCUGGCGGCAUGCCUUACACAUGCAAGUCGAACGGCAGCACGGGUGCUUGCACCUGGUGGCGAGUGGCGAACGGGUGAGUAAUGCAUCGGAACGUACCCGGAAGUGGGGGAUAACGUAGCGAAAGUUACGCUAAUACCGCAUAUUCUGUGAGCAGGAAAGCGGGGGAUCUUCGGACCUCGUGCUUUCGGAGCGGCCGAUGUCGGAUUAGCUAGUUGGUGAGGUAAAGGCUCACCAAGGCGACGAUCCGUAGCGGGUCUGAGAGGAUGACCAGCCACACUGGAAGUGAGACACGGUCCAGACUCCUACGGGAGGCAGCAGUGGGGGAUAUUGCACAAUGGGCGCAAGCCUGAUUCAGCCAUGCCGCGUGUAUGAAGAAGGCCUUCGGGUUGUAAAGUACUUUCAGCGGGGAGGAAGGCGGUGAAGUUAAUAACUUCACCGAUUGACGUUACCCGCAGAAGAAGCACCGGCUAACUCCGUGCCAGCCGCCGCGGUAA